Molecule: transfer RNA, 82 nt
Filed under: Lachnospiraceae bacterium
Lineage: Bacteria; Bacillati; Bacillota; Clostridia; Lachnospirales; Lachnospiraceae
Description: tRNA-Tyr
Rfam family: tRNA
About the family: Transfer RNA (tRNA) molecules are approximately 80 nucleotides in length. Their secondary structure includes four short double-helical elements and three loops (D, anti-codon, and T loops).
Source: RNAcentral
GGAUGGGUAGCCUAGUGGCGAAGGCAAGUGACUGUAAAUCACCCACAUAGAAACACCGCAGGUUCGAGUCCUGCCCCAUCCA